Molecule: long non-coding RNA, 607 nt
Organism: Myodes glareolus (Bank vole)
Lineage: Eukaryota; Metazoa; Chordata; Mammalia; Rodentia; Cricetidae
Source: RefSeq, a predicted model, not a curated record
UUUUGCCUACUGAAUGAAACUAGGUUGCUUCCAGUCACUAGGGACUUGAACCUAGCUAGACUCAAGUGUUUGAAAGGAUAUGUAAUUUAGAUCAGUUGAGCAAUUGCGUAGAAGCUCUGUGUCUAAUCACUAUGUUAUGACUCUUGUCAAGUCUGUCACAGGGGACCAGCCUAAGUUCUGAAGUUCUGAGCUGGGAGAUGAGAGAAAGAAUUGAGACUCAGCAUCUUCAUAGCGUUUGGCGUUAGCAGAGUCCGGGUUAAGCAGCUCGGAUGGCUGCCUAGUGGAAGCUCUCGUGUUGAUUGGCUGUCAUGUUAUGAUGGAUGCUGUUAUACCUCCUUCUAUAUGGAUAACUGAAACUUCUUGUUCAAACGUCUCUUUCCUUGAUUCUUCAAGAGCAGAGUCUCAUGGUACAGGCCAGGGCAGCCUUGAACUCCUGAUCAUGCUACCUCUGCUUCCUGAAUACUGGGACUAUAGAUCCAGAUGUAGAACUCUCAACUACUGUCCGUAACAUGUCUGCCUGCAUGUCUGCCAUGUCUGUCUUGCUUCCCCCAUGACGAGACCUUUGAAACUGUAAGCAAGCCCCAAAUAAAUGAUUUAUUUUAUAAGA